RNAcentral lists this unclassified non-coding RNA (301 nucleotides) under fungal sp. RNAcentral describes it as "partial internal transcribed spacer region". Lineage: Eukaryota; Fungi. The record is from RNAcentral.
UCUCCUCACGACCCUGUCCGACAACAAAGUGAUGUGGGUUUACUUCAACGUGCCCGAGGCCCGCUACCUCGAGUACAAGGCCCAGCCCGAGAACCGACAGAAUAAUUCGCAACUCAAACUCGCGGAUGCGCGCAUCGAACUUCUGCUGGCCAAUGGCAAAAAGUUCGAGCAAGACCCCGGCAACACGGUCACUGUCGAGGGCAAAUUCAACAACGAGACUGGCAACAUCGCCUUCCGCUCGGAUUUCCCGAACUUGAACGGCCUGCUGCGUCACGGCCAGACCGGCACCGUGCUGAUCCAC